This 412-nucleotide ribosomal RNA is filed under the name uncultured microorganism. Its description in RNAcentral is "bacterial SSU rRNA". It matches the Rfam family "Archaeal small subunit ribosomal RNA", at positions 459 to 872 of the family's 1478-position model. The record is from RNAcentral.
CAGCCGCCGCGGUAAUACCAACCCCGCGAGUGGUCGGGACGUUUAUUGGGCCUAAAGCGUCCGUAGCCGGCCCGGUAAGUCCCUCCUUAAAGCCCACGGCUCAACCGUGGGAGCGGAGGGAUACUGCCGGGCUAGGGGGCGGGAGAGGCCGGGGGUACUCCUGGGGUCGGGGCGAAAUCCUAUAAUCCCAGGAGGACCACCAGUAGCGAAGGCGCCCGGCUAGCACGCGCCCGACGGUGAGGGACGAAAGCUGGGGGAGCAAAGGGGAUUAGAUACCCCCGUAGUCCCAGCUGUAAACGAUGCAGGCUAGGUGUUAGGCGGGCUUCGUGCCCGCCUAGUGCCGUAGGGAAGCCGUUAAGCCUGCCGCCUGGGGAGUACGGCCGCAAGGCUGAAACUUAAAGGAAUUGGCGAG